Nymphalis io (European peacock) is the source of this 1744-nucleotide long non-coding RNA. RefSeq lists it as uncharacterized. The transcript is spliced from 3 exons. The record is from RefSeq and is a predicted model, not a curated record. Lineage: Eukaryota; Metazoa; Arthropoda; Insecta; Lepidoptera; Nymphalidae.
CUGCGUUGUAUUUAUAAAGAUUUAGGCAUAUAUUAUAUAUAUUUUUAUUUUAAUCGUUUUUUCCUAAUGACAUGAUGAAUCAUUAGUGUUUUCGUUAUAUGACGAAUGAUGUCAUCCUGACCGAUUACAGUGCACAAGUACGAGCGUAAACACAAAUUCUCUCUCCGUUUCCUAACUCGCAUAAUUCGAUUGGACGACAAAUCUGACUCGACUAGAAAGAGUUUAGGCGCAGGACCAACGGCCUAACGUGCUUUCCGAGGAAAGGGAAUAUAAAUAUUGCAAAUUUCAAGACACCAGGCUGCUAGUGACAAUUUCCCUAUAGAAACACCCAGUAACUUUUAAUGGUUCUACCAGAUGUUUACACCAACGAGGCAGUUCAUCUCAUGCUCUGAGAGAAUAUCGUCAAAAACUUGCAUGUAUCGGAUGAAAAUAUUCCACAUUUAUAUCUACUAACCCACAUUGGAGCAGAAUGGAGGAAAAAGCUCUCAACCAUUUCUCAAAAACGUCUAGCCCAGCAUUGGGAGAUUUACGGUCACUGUCUACAAUUAGUGUAUUUUCGUGAUUUAAUGCUUUACACUUUAUCGAUGCGGGAAGUAAAGAUGCAGCUUUCAACGUUCAAGCAGAUGUCAACGUACGCCAACAACCACGGACGGCGACGCACCGCACCAAGGGUCUUCAACAAUACGUGUCGAUAUGUGUCGGUCUUGAGAUUCGAAUAUAUUUUGUAAUUGUAAUUUUACAAAAAUGCAAGGUGAACGUGAAUAGAUAUCGCUGCCGCUUUUGCAAAAACGUUGUCAAGUGUACAGAAAAGGACAAAGACAUACUUAACACCUCCCCUUCCCCCUCAGACGGGUGAAGCCGCGGGCGGAAACUAGUUUGGUGAUAUUAAAAAGUAUUUUUAAACAAAAAAAUAUAAUUAUUGAUAAAAUUCAAAGAUACAAUAGCGUGUUUAUUGUAUCAAGUGGGUGAAAAAUCCAAUUAAAUUUAACAUGCAUGCAAGCUAUUCGAGUAUUAUCUAUUGAUAAUGAUUUCGAUGAAGUUUUUAGAGUUCCGCGAUGAACUCUUUUCUAAUUUGAAACGAAAUAGCUAUCAUAUUUGGUUUUGUUAACACAUACAUAUAAAUUAUAUAAUAUAUAUUAUAUAAUUAUAGAUCUAUACUUCUUAGUUAAUACUAAUCAGUUAUUUCAGAAAUAAUUUCUGUUGUGUUCCCAGACAAAUAAUUUUUUCUUUUAUCGAUUUUCAAUGUGGAUGCUGCGUUGUCACUUAGGGAGUUUCAUUGUUCAAAAUUCGCUCUCCUAGCUUCAAUAAGUUUCUGUUACGGUCCACUCUCUGUCACAAAUAGCAAUGAUGACAUAAUCCUCCAUUUUAUUAGCUUUAGCUGACUCCGUUUUCUUCAUUACAAAGCCGUUGCGUCUACACCUUAGUUUUUAUAUUACGUGUAGCUGUUCACGUACAUCGGUUCAUGUUCUGCAGUUAAUGUUGAUAUAUAUGUCGUUUAAAAACUCUUAAGCUUUAGAAUAUAUAUAUAUACUUAGCUUUUGAAACAUUGUUUUUAAAAAUAUAUUUAUAUAUUAUUGAAUGGUUGAAAAAUAAAGAUUAAAAAAACAACUACUUAUUUGUACAAAAAAUAUCACUUAAAAUAAUAUAACACUCUGAAAUUACAGUAGUAAAUCUUCAGUUAAGCAAGACAGCUCCAGUUUUGAAACGAAGCCGCUACACUAUUCUCGCAUGGUUUGCCACGAAG